GACGAACGCUGGCGGCGUGCUUAACACAUGCAAGUCGAACGGAAAGGCCCUGCUUUUGUGGGGUGCUCGAGUGGCGAACGGGUGAGUAACACGUGAGUAACCUGCCCUUGACUUUGGGAUAACUUCAGGAAACUGGGGCUAAUACCGGAUAGGAGCUCCUGCUGCAUGGUGGGGGUUGGAAAGUUUCGGCGUUGGGGAUGGACUUGCGGCUUAUCAGCUUGUUGGUGGGGUAGUGGCUUACCAAGGCUUUGACGGGUAGCCGGCCUGAGAGGGUGACCGGCCACAUUGGGACUGAGAUACGGCCCAGACUCCUACGGGAGGCAGCAGUGGGGAAUAUUGCACAAUGGGCGGAAGCCUGAUGCAGCAACGCCGCGUGCGGGAUGACGGCCUUCGGGUUGUAAACCGCUUUCGCCUGUGACGAAGCGUGAGUGACGGUAAUGGGUAAAGAAGCACCGGCUAACUACGUG
This 467-nucleotide ribosomal RNA is filed under the name uncultured bacterium. RNAcentral's name for it is "partial 16S ribosomal RNA". It matches the Rfam family "Bacterial small subunit ribosomal RNA", at positions 28 to 507 of the family's 1533-position model. The record is from RNAcentral.